UGCUCUAUGGUGUAACGGCAGCACAACAGAUUUUGGUUCUGUUAGAGCAGGUUCGAAUCCUGCUAGAGUAA
Molecule: transfer RNA, 71 nt
Filed under: Crassvirales sp.
Lineage: Duplodnaviria; Heunggongvirae; Uroviricota; Caudoviricetes; Crassvirales
Description: tRNA-Gln
Rfam family: tRNA
About the family: Transfer RNA (tRNA) molecules are approximately 80 nucleotides in length. Their secondary structure includes four short double-helical elements and three loops (D, anti-codon, and T loops).
Source: RNAcentral